The sequence is a ribosomal RNA, 1363 nucleotides long. It matches the Rfam family "Eukaryotic small subunit ribosomal RNA", at positions 3 to 1377 of the family's 1831-position model.
CCUGGUUGAUUCUGCCAGUAGUCAUAUGCUUGUCUCAAAGAUUAAGCCAUGCAAGUCUAAGUUUAAGCACCUAAACGGCGAAACUGCGAAUGGCUCAUUAAAUCAGUUAUCGUAUAUUUGAUAGUACCUACUACAUGGAUAACCGUGGUAAUUCUAGAGCUAAUACAUGCUUAAAAUCCCGACUUCGGAAGGGAUGUAUUUAUUAGAUUAAAAACCAAUGCCCUUCGGGGCUCACUGGUGAUUCAUAAUAACUUCUCGAAUCGCAUGGCCUUGUGCCGGCGAUGGUUCAUUCAAAUUUCUGCCCUAUCAACUUUCGACGGCUGGGUCUUGGCCAGCCGUGGUUACAACGGGUAACGGAGGGUUAGGGCUUGACCCCGGAGAAGGAGCCUGAGAAACGGCUACUACAUCCAAGGAAGGCAGCAGGCGCGCAAAUUACCCAAUCCCGACACGGGGAGGUAGUGACAAUAAAUACUGAUACAGGGCUCUUUUGGGUCUUGUAAUUGGAAUGAGUACAAUUUAAAUCCCUUAACGAGGAACAAUUGGAGGGCAAGUCUGGUGCCAGCAGCCGCGGUAAUUCCAGCUCCAAUAGCGUAUAUUAAAGUUGUUGCAGUUAAAAAGCUCGUAGUUGAACUUUGGGCCUGGCUGGCCGGUCUGCCUCACCGCAUGCACUGGUCCGGCCGGGCCUUUCCCUCUGGGGAUCCGCAUGCCCUUCACUGGGUGUGUCGGGGAACCAGGACUUUUACUGUGAAAAAAUUAGAGUGUUCAAAGCAGGCCUAUGCUCGAAUACAUUAGCAUGGAAUAAUAGAAUAGGACGUUGCGGUUCUAUUUUGUUGGUUUCUAGGACCGCCGUAAUGAUUAAUAGGGACAGUCGGGGGCGUCAGUAUUCAAUCGUCAGAGGUGAAAUUCUUGGAUCGAUUGAAGACUAACUACUGCGAAAGCAUUCGCCAAGGAUGUUUUCAUUAAUCAGGAACGAAAGUUAGGGGAUCGAAAACGAUCAGAUACCGUUGUAGUCUUAACCAUAAACUAUGCCGACUAGGGAUCGGGCGAUGUUAUUUCUUGACUCGCUCGGCACCUUACACGAAAGUAAAGUUUUUGGGUUCUGGGGGGAGUAUGGUCGCAAGGCUGAAACUUAAAGAAAUUGACGGAAGGGCACCACAAGGGGUGGAGCCUGCGGCUUAAUUUGACUCAACACGGGGAAACUCACCAGGUCCAGACACAACUAGGAUUGACAGAUUGAGAGCUCUUUCUUGAUUUUGUGGGUGGUGGUGCAUGGCCGUUCUUAGUUGGUGGAGUGAUUUGUCUGCUUAAUUGCGAUAACGAACGAGACCUUAACCUGCUAAAUAGCCCGGCCCGCCUAGGCGGG